This 532-nucleotide long non-coding RNA is filed under the name Homo sapiens (human). RNAcentral's name for it is "long independently transcribed non-coding RNA 2129 (LINC02129)". The record is from RNAcentral. Lineage: Eukaryota; Metazoa; Chordata; Mammalia; Primates; Hominidae.
GCCUCCCGAAGCACUGGGAUUACAGAACAGUUUGCUGAUGCUUGCCCUCAAAGAUGGCAGAUCCACAGAUAGAAGGAGCCUGGUUUGUGAGUAGCAGCAUCGGAAGCUCAACAUGGAUGGCUGCUGGGAAUCUCCACGUGGGACUCUUCAUAAGGGAGAAAUCAACAGUUAGCACAGUCAUGGAAGACAGUCAAAUGGGUACUCAGCAAGUACCUUCCCAAGCUCCCUUGCAGGGAUGGUGGUCAUGUGACACAGAUCUGACCAAUGAGAUGUGAGCAUUGCUCUCCUCUCCCAGUGCAUUACCAGAAAUGGGAUCACAUUUGCAGAGCUGCACAGAGGGAUGCUUCAAGGAGAGGGGACGAUACUCGUCCAGGAUCUGGGAUUCCCAAACAUCCUUCUGGUCAGCCAGUAUAUGGAGCCGUUGUUAAGCUUUGGAAUCAGACUUCCUAGCAUGAGAACAGACGAAUACACUAACUAAUGGAGGAAUGACUUGAUUCAGAAAUGUAAAGAAAUGGGACGGCUUGCACCUCAG